AGAGUUUGAUCAUGGCUCAGAACGAACGCUGGCGGCAGGCUUAACACAUGCAAGUCGAACGGGCGUCGCAAGACGUCAGUGGCAGACGGGUGAGUAACGCGUGGGAACAUACCCUUCGGUUCGGAAUAGCUCAGGGAAACUUGGAUUAAUACCGGAUACGUCCGCGAGGAGAAAGAUUCAUCGCCGAAGGAUUGGCCCGCGUCUGAUUAGCUAGUUGGUGGGGUAACGGCUCACCAAGGCGACGAUCAGUAGCUGGUCUGAGAGGAUGAUCAGCCACAUUGGGACUGAGACACGGCCCAAACUCCUACGGGAGGCAGCAGUGGGGAAUAUUGGACAAUGGGCGCAAGCCUGAUCCAGCCAUGCCGCGUGAGUGAUGACGGCCUUAGGGUUGUAAAGCUCUUUCGCUCGGGACGAUAAUGACGGUACCGAGAUAAGAAGCCCCGGCUAACUUCGUGCCAGCAGCCGCGGUAAUACGAAGGGGGCUAGCGUUGUUCGGAAUUACUGGGCGUAAAGCGCGUGUAGGCGGAUCUUUAAGUCAGGGGUGAAAUGCCAGGGCUCAACCUUGGAACUGCCUUUGAUACUGGAGAUCUUGAGUCCGGGAGAGGUGAGUGGAAUUGCGAGUGUAGAGGUGAAAUUCGUAGAUAUUCGCAAGAACACCAGUGGCGAAGGCGGCUCACUGGCCCGGAACUGACGCUGAGACGCGAAAGCGUGGGGAGCAAACAGGAUUAGAUACCCUCGUAGUCC
Molecule: ribosomal RNA, 744 nt
Filed under: uncultured bacterium
Lineage: Bacteria
Description: bacterial SSU rRNA
Rfam family: Bacterial small subunit ribosomal RNA
Source: RNAcentral